ACUUCCUGGCCCUUCCUCUGGUGGCCCUGCCCUUCCUCUGGUGGCCCUGCUCAUCCCCUUGGUGGCCCUGCUCAUCCCCAUGGUGGCCCUGGUGGCGCUGGCCACUUCCUGGCCCUUCCUCUGGUGGCCCUGCCCUUCCUCUGGUGGCCCUGCUCAUCCCCUUGGUGGCCCUACUCACUCUCAUGGUGGCCUUGGUGGCCCUGACUGUUCCUGGUGGUGGCCCUGCUCAUCCCCUUGGUGGCCUUGGUGGCCCUGGCCACCUCCUGCCUCUUCCUGUGGUGGCCCUGCUCAUCCCCAUGGUGGCCUUGGUGGCCCUGGCCACCUCCUGCCUCUUCCUGUGGUGGCCCUGCCCUUCCUGUGGUGGCCCUGCUCAUCCCCUUGGUGGCCCUGCUCACUCCCAUGGUGGCCUUGGUGGCCCUGGCCACCUCCUGACCCCUCCUGUGGUGGCCCUGACCGUCCUGGUGGUGGCGCUACUCACUCCCAUGGUGGCCUUGGUGGCCCUGACUGUUCCUGGUGGUGGCCC
Molecule: long non-coding RNA, 523 nt
Filed under: Calidris pugnax (ruff)
Lineage: Eukaryota; Metazoa; Chordata; Aves; Charadriiformes; Scolopacidae
Description: lncRNA (ENSCPUG00000000402.1)
Source: RNAcentral